This 1639-nucleotide long non-coding RNA is filed under the name Lathyrus oleraceus (garden pea). RNAcentral's name for it is "Pisum sativum (pea) long non-coding RNA (PSAT_LNC024250)". Lineage: Eukaryota; Viridiplantae; Streptophyta; Magnoliopsida; Fabales; Fabaceae. The record is from RNAcentral.
ACUAACACUUUCAAUUUAAGUUGCAACAUCUGGAUUGCCUACCCUAUCAAAUGCAUGGAAUGGACUGAGACUUCACAUUAACUUAAAUCAUCCCCAAGUUCACGCUUUUAAAUCCAAGUAUGAUAGUACAUUUGACAAUUAAUAUGCUUGCCAUACUUUAUGUUAAUUAAGUAUACUUCCAUUUGCUUCAUUUAAUUUGCAUUUACAUUAUGUGAUCAGGCUAGGAUCCAUACAAUCACUUGCUACACCAUCUCAGUCAAUCACCCAAACUUCGGAUUCAUUUGUUCAUUCUGGUAAGAAAACCUGGACAAACUCUAACGAGGUCAAGAGUAUCCAUCAUAUCAGUGAAAUGGGCAAGGUUUGUCUUUUUUUUAGUAUUUCAAAUUGACAAACUUCAUCAUAUAUCUCCUGACAAGUUCUGAUGUCACUUUAGAAUUAUUUUGCCAUAACCAUUGGAAAUACAAAAAUAUUUAAGGCCUCUAAGUUUGGAUGGUAUUUCGGGGCUUGCCCCGAUUGUAAGACAUUGAAUAAGUCCCCCGGAACCAAAUUUGUCUGUGUUUGGGGAGUUAAAAAUGUUGAACAUGUAUCAAAGUAAGAUUUCUAGUUCAUUUUGCAACUUUCAAGUCUUAUUUAUGAAGUUGUUGUUAUUACAUAUACUACUAUUAUUUUCAUGUCAUAGUAAAAAAUUGGAAUAGAAGUCGAGUUUGAUAAUCACAUGGGAUACUUUGUGUUUUGGGAUAAAGAUUGUACCAUACAUUAAUAUGAAUGCUAGAGAUUGAGACAACUCAUGAAGGAGGUAAAUACAUGAUUCAAGCGCUACUUUUAAUUUUCAAGUUUACGACUUAAUUCACCUACAUUUCAAUGACUAAUUUUAUUUUUGAGAUAGGCUGGAGAGGAUAACCCAAAAAUAUAUAUGAUACACCUAGACAAACUUUUGAACCAAGAUCUUGCAUUUAAAGUUAAGUAUCAAUCAUUUUUCUAACAACUCUCAAUUCCGACAAUCAUUAAUGAGCCUGGUUUUUACAAGACCUUAUAUGAAGUUCUUAAACCAUAUGAGGUACAGUGCAUUAACCUUUAUAAUAUAUACUUUUUGUUUGACUCGUUAUCAAGGUUUUCAUUUUCCAUAUUUUGAUCAAAUAUAUGCUUUUAAUUUAUGGAUUAAUGUGUUGGCAACAUACUUCAAAGGUUGUAGUGUUGGUAACAUACACAGACCAUGAUGUGGACAUUCAACAUGAACCUAUUUAAUGUAUUAAUUCUUAACCUCAUACAUAAGUUUCUAUAUAUUUUUCAUUCUUAAUUCAUAGUAUACUUACCAAUUAAUUCUGUAAUGUGUAGCCGACCAAAUCUUAUGAGCAAACCUUGUAUGAAUUUCCAACAACUUAUGCCAACCAAACUUGUAGUUUGUCCACUUGAUCUAGCAACACCCAUGGUAAAAUGGUUUUCGUUUCAACUACUCUUGAUGAUAUUUUGCAAUAUGAAGUACUAACUCCAAUGCAAUCUUCAACCAAGGUUAAGCACCUCAAGAAGGAGUGAUCAUAUAAUGCAGGCCUCAUUUUUUGUGGCAUUGAAAUGUUUUGUUGAGAUCAACCAUGUAAGGAUUAAUGCCAUCCUCUUAGAACUAUGACAAUUUAAUUAAGUC